UUUUUUUUUUUUUUUUAAUGAAACUUGUUUGCAAAAAACCAAACCUAAACCAAACCAAAAAAAAAAAAAAACCAAACACCAAAAGCCCAAGUGAAAACCGCGGCGAUCUGCAUGAUUGUAAGGGGUUCAAACAUAUCCGAAAACGAAGAAAAAGGAAUUGUUCUAUGGGCUUUUUGACUUCUGAACGUAUUGGAGCUCUGUGAUACUCAGCAAGUUGUCUGGCGCUGUCUUCACUGAAGACUUUUAUGUAAUGAAGAGGCUGAUUGUCAUAUUUUUGUCCAUGCUGGAGGCCAAUAACCCAACCCAUUCAUUAUCAGAAGAGAGUAGCCUGGAAGUUGCAACGUCAGGACCACUGUUUUGCUUGCAGCAAUGGAGUGCUGAGAUCAGGAGUCGUGAUUUUCAGUACAGAAAACUGGCACGUGUGGUUGUUUACCCGCUAUGGGAGUCAUAGGUGGCCAGAGAUGUUUGCAUUAGCACAGGCAUAGAAAAUCCAGCAGCCCACUGAAAUGGGUUGCGCUCAUUCCUGGGAAGCACAAGUUUCAGCGAGCAAAGGAAAAUCUGUAGGAGUCGUUUUGUGUCACGUUUUGGCUUAAAGUUAACUUUGAAUUGCACAGGUGUUUGUGGAGUGCUCUGCCUUAAUAAAUAAAUAAAUAAAACGCGCGGUUUUAGGUGAACUUUAUAAAAAAUGGAAGAGAAAGCCAUAAAUAGAUUUAUUUUUACAGUUUGAAUAAGGACAGCUACAGCUUUUAUUAUCUUCUGAUUUAGCGUGCUUUGAUGGCACUUGUAAGUAAAUUUAAAUUUUAAUCUCCGCGUUUCUCUCAGAUACGAGUAGAUGUGCCUGCACUCUUCGUUACUGCUAAAAGCAGGACUGUACUGAAAAGGCAGUUUUAUAUCCUCUCAUUCACACCUGGCAUUUUUUUUUUGCCUUAUUCUUUAUCCCAUCUUCUUUCGGGCAUUUUGUGCGUCUGUUUCGGAGGUGGAAGCAGUUUGGAUUCAGGGAAGGAGAAUGUAGAUGAAAGAAUAGAAUACAUAUCAUUUUUUUUUAAAGAAACACAAACUUAUUUCUGGCAACUGCAGAUGAAAAUCCACAUUUCUGUAGCGAUGGCACUCCAGGCACAGAUACUCUAUGGACAGGAAAGAAGAAUGGGUUACUGGAAGAAAACAUGUAAAAGCAAAAUAGUUCUGCAGUGCUUAAUUGGAUGAUCUUAAGGUUACUGUACAAAGGCGGGCUCUGGUUUCCAGUUGCGCGGCCAAAUACAGCAUACAAACUUUUUAUGAGUAAGUCGCUGAUCAGAGUCUGACCUUGGAUAGAAACAAGAGAAAACUGUAAUGAUCUGAUGGGUGUUUGUUGCUUAACGUGAAAUAGAUGAGUGGUGUCGGUCUGCAUCUGAGUGGAUCACAGUAACUGCUGUGACAUUUUCGCUCCUGUUGGCAGGUUAAGCAAGGAAGCCGAGCACCGAGCGAGAGAUCUGAAGUGUCUUUUCAGAGGUAGCAGCCAUCAGGAUGAGCAGAGAGGCACGGGAAUAGGGUAGGGAUUUGGGUUGCCUCUGCCCAACUGCACCGGCGCUGUGACUGAACGCACUCCCAGAGGGAAGCUGCUUCCAAUAUUCUGAAUUUGGCACCUUUCCCUUAUAUUUAAAUUCGCUCUAAUUUUCAGGUGCAUCUUACUAGAUAACCAGAUGCAUCAGAAAAGCAAAAGAAUUAUAGAGCAGUAAUUAUAAUUAGCCUUGUUGUCUGUUUUUUGAAAAUUGCAAGAUGGGGCCUUGAAAGUAUUUUGAAGUCACUGUUACUUAGAGGUCUUAAUCUAAACACUCCAUGCGAGAUUGUUUUUUAAAGAGAAGGGUUCUUUAGGUCAAGCUGAGCUAUAUUAAAGACAAACAAUUUUGUUACAAUCUAUCUUUUAAACACAGAUGAAGAAAACAGAACUAAAAUAGCCACAGCGGUCUCAGUAUCCAAUCUUUUCUACGUUUUGCAUGGCAGUAUUUGAGACUCCAAUAACCGAAAGUAGAAUUAGGUAAUUCCUCACAAGUAUUUGUCAUACUAUGAAAAAAGCAGUGCUGCCUGUCAUGGCAGGACGUGAACGGAGAAUUCUGCAGGUUGCAGUGCCCG
RNAcentral lists this long non-coding RNA (2109 nucleotides) under Gallus gallus (chicken). Lineage: Eukaryota; Metazoa; Chordata; Aves; Galliformes; Phasianidae. The record is from RNAcentral.